GCUCCCAUGGCGUAGUGGUCACUGCACUCGCCUUGCACGCGGGGAGACCCGCGGUUCGAUUCCCGGCGGGGUCA
Molecule: transfer RNA, 74 nt
Filed under: Diaphorina citri (Asian citrus psyllid)
Lineage: Eukaryota; Metazoa; Arthropoda; Insecta; Hemiptera; Psyllidae
Rfam family: tRNA
About the family: Transfer RNA (tRNA) molecules are approximately 80 nucleotides in length. Their secondary structure includes four short double-helical elements and three loops (D, anti-codon, and T loops).
Source: Rfam by way of RNAcentral